ACCGACAUACUCCCUUGUGUGGCAUACCACACCUUGCACAAACUGCAUUAUCCGCACCAGAGCUUGAGCCACUCCCUAGUCCCAGACUAGACUUAACCUUGUUCCAGAACUUGUUCUUCUUAGACUUCCUGGGACCUCUGUUCCACUUCUUGCUACCUGAAGCUGCUGCACUCAUUGAAGAAGAGCCUGGGGUCUUAGAACCAGAAGGCUGUGCCACUGACUGUUUAAUUGUCCCCUGAACGAUGGCACUGGCCUCCAUUUUUCGGGCCAUAUCCACUAUGGCAUGGAAGCUCUCCCUAUCUGCUGACUGGAUCAAGGAGGAAUAUCUGGAGUGGAGUUUCAUGAUAUACCUCCUUGACCUUUUCUGGUCUGAAUCAAGGUUUUACCCUGCAAAUGGCAACAACUCC
RNAcentral lists this long non-coding RNA (407 nucleotides) under Manihot esculenta (cassava). RNAcentral's name for it is "long non-coding RNA (MESC_LNC011060)". The record is from RNAcentral. Lineage: Eukaryota; Viridiplantae; Streptophyta; Magnoliopsida; Malpighiales; Euphorbiaceae.